This 36-nucleotide ribosomal RNA is filed under the name uncultured fungus. Its description in RNAcentral is "partial 5.8S ribosomal RNA". The record is from RNAcentral. Lineage: Eukaryota; Fungi.
AACUUUCAACAACGGAUCUCUUGGUUCUGGCAUCAU